This 301-nucleotide ribosomal RNA is filed under the name uncultured bacterium. Its description in RNAcentral is "partial 16S ribosomal RNA". It matches the Rfam family "Bacterial small subunit ribosomal RNA", at positions 509 to 807 of the family's 1533-position model. The record is from RNAcentral.
CAGCCGCCACGGGAAUACAGAGGGUGCAAGCGUUAAUCGGAAUUACUGGGCGUAAAGCGCGCGUAGGUGGUUUGUUAAGUUGAAUGUGAAAUCCCCGGGCUCAACCUGGGAACUGCAUCCAAAACUGGCAAGCUAGAGUAGGGCAGAGGGUGGUGGAAUUUCCUGUGUAGCGGUGAAAUGCGUAGAUAUAGGAAGGAACACCAGUGGCGAAGGCGACCACCUGGGCUCAUACUGACACUGAGGUGCGAAAGCGUGGGGAGCAAACAGGAUUAGAUACCCCAGUAGUCCCUGUCUCUUAUAC